CUAUACAGUGAAACUGCGAAUGGCUCAUUAAAUCAGUUAUCGUUUAUUUGAUAGUACCUUACUACUUGGAUAACCGUGGUAAUUCUAGAGCUAAUACAUGCUAAAAACCCCGACUUCGGAAGGGGUGUAUUUAUUAGAUAAAAAACCAAUGCUCUUCGGGGCUCCUUGGUGAUUCAUAAUAACUUAACGAAUCGCAUGGCCUUGUGCCGGCGAUGGUUCAUUCAAAUUUCUGCCCUAUCAACUUUCGAUGGUAGGAUAGUGGCCUACCAUGGUUUCAACGGGUAACGGGGAAUUAGGGUUCUAUUCCGGAGAGGGAGCCUGAGAAACGGCUACCACAUCCAAGGAAGGCAGCAGGCGCGCAAAUUACCCAAUCCCGACACGGGGAGGUAGUGACAAUAAAUACUGAUACAGGGCUCUUUUGAGUCUUGUAAUUGGAAUGAGUACAAUUUAAAUCCCUUAACGAGGAACAAUUGGAGGGCAAGUCUGGUGCCAGCAGCCGCGGUAAUUCCAGCUCCAAUAGCGUAUAUUAAAGUUGUUGCAGUUAAAAAGCUCGUAGUUGAACCUUGGGCCUGGCUGGCCGGUCCGCCUCACCGCGUGCACUGGUCCGGCCGGGCCUUUCCUCCUGGGGAGCCGCAUGCCCUUCACUGGGUGUGUCGGGGAACCAGGACUUUUACUUUGAAAAAAUUAGAGUGUUCAAAGCAGGCCUAUGCUCGAAUACAUUAGCAUGGAAUAAUAGAAUAGGACGUGUGGUUCUAUUUUGUUGGUUUCUAGGACC
Molecule: ribosomal RNA, 775 nt
Filed under: Pseudogymnoascus sp.
Lineage: Eukaryota; Fungi; Ascomycota; Leotiomycetes; Thelebolales; Thelebolaceae
Description: SSU rRNA
Rfam family: Eukaryotic small subunit ribosomal RNA
Source: RNAcentral